Molecule: ribosomal RNA, 497 nt
Filed under: uncultured bacterium
Lineage: Bacteria
Description: partial 16S ribosomal RNA
Rfam family: Bacterial small subunit ribosomal RNA
Source: RNAcentral
GAUGAACGCUGGCGGCGUGCCUAAUACAUGCCAGUCGAGCGAACAGACGAGGAGCUUGCUCCUCUGACGUUAGCGGCGGACGGGUGAGUAACACGUGGAUAACCUACCUAUAAGACUGGGAUAACUUCGGGAAACCGGAGCUAAUACCGGAUAAUAUAUUGAACCGCAUGGUUCAAUAGUGAAAGACGGUUUUGCUGUCACUUAUAGAUGGAUCCGCGCCGCAUUAGCUAGUUGGUAAGGUAACGGCUUACCAAGGCAACGAUGCGUAGCCGACCUGAGAGGGUGGUCGGCGACACUGGAACGGAGACACGGUCCAGACUCCUACGGGAGGCAGCAGUAGGGAACCUUCCGCAAUGGGCGAAAGCCUGACGGAGCAACGCCGCGUGAGUGAUGAAGGUCUUCGGAUCGUAAAACUCUGUUAUUAGGGAAGAACAAAUGUGUAAGUAACUAUGCACGUCUUGACGGUACCGAAUCAGAAAGCCACGGCUAACUACGUG